Molecule: ribosomal RNA, 639 nt
Filed under: Dothideomycetes sp. genotype 794 JMUR-2016
Lineage: Eukaryota; Fungi; Ascomycota; Dothideomycetes
Description: eukaryotic LSU rRNA
Source: RNAcentral
GUCUGGUUAGAACCCAUUGCCGUAAAACCUUUAAUUUUCUAGGUUGACCUCGGAUCAGGUAGGGAUACCCGCUGAACUUAAGCAUAUCAAUAAGCGGAGGAAAAGAAACCAACAGGGAUUGCCCUAGUAACGGCGAGUGAAGCGGCAAUAGCUCAAAUUUGAAAGCUGGCCUCUGGUCCGCAUUGUAAUUUGUAGAGGAUGCUUUUAGGCAGCCGCCGGUCUAAGUUCCUUGGAACAGGACGUCAUAGAGGGUGAGAAUCCCGUAUGUGACCGGCUCAGGCACCUUCUGUAAAGCUCCUUCGACGAGUCGAGUUGUUUGGGAAUGCAGCUCUAAAUGGGAGGUAAAUUUCUUCUAAAGCUAAAUACCGGCGAGAGACCGAUAGCGCACAAGUAGAGUGAUCGAAAGAUGAAAAGCACUUUGGAAAGAGAGUUAAAAAGCACGUGAAAUUGUUGAAAGGGAAGCGCUUGCAAUCAGACUUGGCCUCGRRUGUUCAACCGGUCUUCUGACCGGCCUAUUCAUUCGGGGCCAGGCCAGCAUCAGUUUCGGCGGCCGGAUAAAGGCCUUGGGAAUGUGGCUUUYYCUUCGGGGGAAGUGUUAUAGCCCAGGGUGUAAUACGGCCAGCUGGGACUGAGGUCCGC